This is a long non-coding RNA of Cyprinus carpio carpio, 1731 nucleotides long. Lineage: Eukaryota; Metazoa; Chordata; Actinopteri; Cypriniformes; Cyprinidae. The record is from Ensembl.
UGAAAAUAGCCUGCUUAUUCAGUCGAGUCUGUUUCCGUUUAUUUGUAGCCAAUAUACGUCACAUUUAGAAUUAAUGAUAAUAGCUCUAUUUUUAUAAAAGCUCCCGAACAAAAAACAUACGUGGAGCUAAACUCUCGAGACGAGACUUAUGACAGAUAAUAUAAGUUACUAAAUAAAUACACAAUUGUGAUGGAGAAUAAGAAGCUGAUGUCUGAUUUCUUCAAGUGGUUGCAUUUACCAUGUUUACUAUGGUAAUGUUAAUGUCUAGCGUGCACAUUCUUUUGCAUCGCUUAUAAAUAUUUCUGCCUUGUUUAGUGAUUAUAAUUCACAUCGGAUCAAAUUAUUUCAAACACAUGCUUCUGACUGAAAGUGAGUUUUGAGUUCAACUUAUUAAAAAAAGUUUUUAAUGCUGGUUUUAUAGCUGUUAGCUUUUAUGAAAUGAUCCGCAGCGCAGACGCUCUCUAUUUUUAUAAAAGCUCCCGAACAAAAAUCAUUAUUAUAUUUUGAUGACGUGCUACGCGGAGCUAAACUCUCGAGAUGAGACUUAUGACAGAUAAAAUAUGUUACUAAAUAAAUACACAAUUGUGAUAGAGAAUAAGAAGCUGACCUCUGAUUUCUUCAAGCGGUCACAUUUACCAUGUUUAUUAUGGUAACGUUAAUGUUUAGCGUGCAUAGUCUUUUACAUCGCUUAUAAAUAUUUCUGCCUUUUAUGAUGAUUAUAAUCCACAUCGGAUCACGUUAUUUCAAACACUCGCUGCUGACUGAAAGUGAGUUUUGAGCUCAGCUUAUUUUAAAAGUGUUUAAUGCUGGUGUUAUAGCUGUUAUCUUUCUGAAAUGAAGGGCGCUGACACUCCAGACGCGAAGAAACUCUGCCUUUGUUUAUAACCACUCCUCAGCCCCAGUUGGCCUGCUUUGGCCCAAGGUUUUCGUCGGGCCAAAAAACCCUGGCCGUUGGCCCAGAGGAAGCCCCGACGAGGCACGAUCAAGCCCCGGAAGUGACAGUGGAAACGCGACUGGCCCUGGCACACACUAGCACGUCCGCUUUAAGCCCGACACUGGAAACGCGGCUACUGAGGCUUCAAGCCGCCAGACCUGUUCCCUCUGCUGUGUUUUUUGUUUUUCAAGAGGAUAUUUUUAUUUUUAUAGAAUUUUAAUGUUUUGUGUAACAAAGUGCUUUCUGUGUUCAGGUUUGAAUGUAGUAAUAAUAAUGCAAAAGAAAAAAAAAAACUACACUUCAAAUCAACAUUUUAAACAACAAAAAAUAUAAAUCUUGACAAAAAGUAGUCUUUGAGAAUGCCUUAAUAUACAUUUUAAUCCACAACCUAAUAAAAGUAAACAAUUAUGUAUAAAAACAACAAGGGAAUUCACAAGCCUCUCUAUAGAGUCCUAUACAGGAAUCUAGUGGUUACACCAUGAAAUUACAUUCUUUUUUUGCUCUCACCAGGAGGUGCUAUUCUGCCUUCUAAAAUUGGAUUGAAAAUGCCUAGUCUCUAUUUUAAUCUGAAAUACUGCAUUAAUUGAAAUAUAUAUAUAUAUAUGUAUAUAUAUAAGUUUUUUUGUACUAUUUUCAAUGGGAAAAAAAUUAUCAUAAUUAUUGCAUAAAUAUUAAUUAGUACCAUGAAAUUAUCUCAAAAUACAAAAGAAAAAAUGUUAUUGAACAAAAAUAUAUUACAUUGAUUUUACUGAAGGAAAAAAAAAAAGUUACAUUUCAGGUGUCCGGUCACUAUUGAC